RNAcentral lists this ribosomal RNA (1398 nucleotides) under Triticum aestivum (bread wheat). RNAcentral's name for it is "partial small subunit ribosomal RNA". Lineage: Eukaryota; Viridiplantae; Streptophyta; Magnoliopsida; Poales; Poaceae. The record is from RNAcentral.
AUGGCGGCGGCGCCGCACGUUGUGGUCGUCGCCUUCCCCUUCGCCUCCCACGCGGUGAAGCUGUUCCGCAUAGCACGCGCCCUCGCGGCGGCGGCGCCGGCCGCCACCUUCUCCUUCCUCUGCACCGCCGCGCAGCUACAGGAGCAGCAGAAGAAGAGUACGCUCCUGGGGAACCUGCGCUUCGUGGAGGUCCCGGACGGUUUAUCUCCGAGCUCGGAAUCGGAUGGCGCCGCCGCGGUGCCGCCGCCGCACCCCAAGAUGCGUCUCAAGCUCUUUAUGGAGGCUGCCGCUGCUGGCGGGUUAAGGGAGGGGCUGGAGACGGCUCGGGCCUCCGCGGGCGGCGCCAGGGUGACCUGCGUCGUCGGCGACUCGUUCAUGUGGAUGGCCGCCAAGGCGGCCGCCGAGGUGGAGGCACCAUGGGUUGCCGUCUGGACCGGCGGCCCCAGCGCGCUCCUGGCGCACCUCCGCGCUGACGCGCUGCGCGACGACAUCGGCGAUAAAGCGGCGAGCCGAGCAGACGAGCUGCUGACCUCGCACCCGGGCCUGGGAAGCUACCGCGUCCGGGACCUCCCCAACGGCAUCGUCUCCGGCGACAUGAACUCGCCGAUCGUCUCCUUGUUCCGCCGCAUAGCGGAGCACCUUCCCCGUGCGGCCACCGCCGUCGCCUUCAACACCUUCCCGGGUCUCCUCCCGGACGACCUCACCGCCGCUCUCGCCGCGGAGCUCCCAGAGUGCCUCCCCGUCGGCCCCUUCCACCUUCUCCCAUUCCCCGGCAACGACGACACCGUCGAGACCAGCGCCGACCCCCACGGAUGCCUCGACUGGCUCGACCGCCACCCCGCCCGUGCCGUCGCGUACGCCAGCUUCGGCACGGUGGUCACUGCCGUGGCAGGAAAUCCGGAGGAACUACGCGAGCUCGCAGCCGGGCUGGAGUCCUCCGGCGCGCCGUUCCUCUGGUCGCUGCCGAAGGAGUCCUGGCCGCAGCUCCCGCCGGGGUUCUUGGACCUCGAGCGCGGCAAGGUGGUGCCGUGGGCGCCACAGGCGGCCGUGCUGCGCCACGCGUCGGUUGGGGCCUUCGUCACGCACGCCGGGUGGGCCUCGGUACUGGAGGGGGUGUCCGCCGGCGUGCCCAUGGCAUGCCGCCCCUUCUUCACCGACCAGAAGAUGAACGCGCAGCUGGUGGCGCGUGUCUGGGGUUUCGGCACGGUCUUGGAGGAGCCCAUGACGCGCGAGGCCGUUGCGGAGGCGGUGCCGUCGCUGCUCGCCGGUGAUCAGGGCAUCCGGAUGUGGGAAAAGAUGCAACAGAUGAGUGGCAUGGCGGCCAACGCGUUCGCGCCCGAUGGCGGUAGCAGAAAAAACUUAGAUAAGCUUGUCAAGAUAGUCUGUGGAGAACUGUGA